UGCAUGGGGGUCCCCAUGCAGCAACAAGGGAAAGGAUUCACCUACCCAGGGUUGGGUCGUAGUCUCCAAUGAAUCUCCUGGUGAUGAACCUGACGGUCAGCGCUGUCUUGCCCACUGCGCUCUGCCCCAGCACAACGAGGCGCAGGGUCCGGCCCGGGCUGAGGCUCACGGAGCGGCGGAGGGGCCGUGGGAAGCUCAUCCCGGGGCUCCGGUGCUCCGACGGGCGCUGCUCCGACGGCUCCGCCCCGAGGGCCGGGCUCGGCCUUGGGGCGGUGCGGGCGGUCCCGGCCCGUGCUCGGCUCCUCCUCCUCCUCCUCCUCCUCCUCCUCCUCCUCCUCCUCCUCCUCCUCCUCCUCCUCCUCCUCCUCCUCCUCCCCCUCCUCCCCCCCCCCCCCCCCCCCUUCUCCUUCUCCUUCUCCUUCUCCUUCUCCUUCUCCUUCUCCUUCUCCUUCUCCUUCUCCUUCUCCUUCUCCUUCUCCUUCUCCUUCUCCUUCUCCUUCUCCUUCUCCUUCUCCUUCUCCUUCUCCUUCUCCUUCUCCUUCUCCUUCUCCUUCUCCUUCUCCUUCUCCUUCUCCUUCUCCUUCUCCUUCUCCUUCUCCUUCUCCUUCUCCUUCUCCUUCUCCUUCUCCUUCUCCUUCUCCUUCUCCUCCUCCUUCUCCUCCUUCUCCUUCUCCUUCUCCUCCUCCUCCUCCUCCUCCUCCUUCUCCUCCUUCUCCUUCUCCUUCUCCUUCUCCUUCUCCUCCUUCUCCUUCUCCUCCUUCUCCUUCUCCUUCUCCUUCUCCUUCUCCUUCUCCUUCUCCUUCUCCUUCUCCUUCUCCUCCUUCUCCUUCUCCUUCUCCUCCUUCUCCUUCUCCUUCUCCUCCUUCUCCUUCUCCUUCUCCCCUUCUCCUUCUCCUCCUCCUCCUCCUCCUCCUCCUCCUCCUCCCUCCGUGCCUCAGUUUCCCCGCACACAAACAUCGCCGGUGGCAGCCCCAAGAGCGAGGGGAGAGGGGAACGGUCCCAAACCCACGGGGGGAGCAGGGUCCGGGGCUGCCUCCCCCCCCCCGGCACCGGAUCAAGGUUUGUGUUCGGCUGCUCCUGC
This 1081-nucleotide long non-coding RNA is filed under the name Melopsittacus undulatus (budgerigar). RNAcentral's name for it is "lncRNA (ENSMUNG00000019505.1)". The record is from RNAcentral. Lineage: Eukaryota; Metazoa; Chordata; Aves; Psittaciformes; Psittaculidae.